This is a long non-coding RNA of Thalassophryne amazonica, 309 nucleotides long. RefSeq lists it as uncharacterized. NCBI's taxonomy places the organism in Eukaryota, Metazoa, Chordata, Actinopteri, Batrachoidiformes, Batrachoididae. The record is from RefSeq and is a predicted model, not a curated record. The transcript is spliced from 3 exons.
GUUUGAGGUGUGUCAUUGAGAUUUAUUUUCGUUGUGAGCAGAAUGCUUAAGUAUGGCAGUUGGUAUUACGUUUGUAUCAUGUGAAGCAGCACAAAGAGGAAAUAAAAAGUCUUAUUCUGACCUGUUGAAUCCUUUCAAACGGAUUCAACAUCAUAUCCUGACGGAAAUUGUUGUUGACACAAGACGGCCUUGUUUUGGAACACGACCUCUGCAAAUAAUUUAAAUCCUUAUCAUGGAAAUUGAAUAAACAAAGAAGUGUGUGUUAAAGGCAUGAGAAUAAUUAAGUGACGCGCACCUACAUGUAUUGAC